AACAGGAUUAGAUACCCUGGUAGUCCACGCAGUAAACGAUGAAUACUAGAUUUUUGCGAUAUACUGUAAGAGUCUAAGCGAAAGCGAUAAGUAUUCCACCUGGGGAGUACGCCGGCAACGGUGAAACUCAAAGGAAUUGACGGGGGCCCGCACAAGCGGAGGAACAUGUGGUUUAAUUCGAUGAUACGCGAGGAACCUUACCCGGGAUUGAAAUUUAGAUGGCGGCAGAUGAGAGUUUGCUUUCCUUCGGGACAUCUAAGUAGGUGCUGCAUGGUUGUCGUCAGCUCGUGCCGUGAGGUGUCGGCUUAAGUGCCAUAACGAGCGCAACCCGCGUCGAUAGUUACUAACAGGUCAUGCUGAGGACUCUAUCGAGACAGCCGUCGUAAGACGAGAGGAAGGGGCGGAUGACGUCAAAUCAGCACGGCCCUUACAUCCGGGGCGACACACGUGUUACAAUGGCAGGGACAAAGGGAAGCGACAUGGUGACAUGAAGCGGAUCUCCAAACCCUGUCCCAGUUCGGAUCGGAGUCUGCAACUCGACUCCGUGAAGCUGGAUUCGCUAGUAAUCGCGCAUCAGCCAUGGCGCGGUGAAUACGUUCCCGGGCCUUGUGCACACCGCCCGUCAAGCCAUGGAAGUUGGGAGUACCUGAAGAGCGUAACCGCAAGGGGCGCUUAAGGGUAAUACCAGUGACUGGGGCUAAGUCGUAACAAGGUAACC
Molecule: ribosomal RNA, 718 nt
Filed under: uncultured bacterium
Lineage: Bacteria
Description: bacterial SSU rRNA
Rfam family: Bacterial small subunit ribosomal RNA
Source: RNAcentral